Molecule: non-coding RNA, 83 nt
Organism: Mycotypha africana
Lineage: Eukaryota; Fungi; Mucoromycota; Mucoromycetes; Mucorales; Mycotyphaceae
Source: the annotation of a RefSeq genome assembly
CCGGCCUUAGCUCAGUUGGUAGAGCGGAAGACUGUAGUUAAACCGUCAUCUUUAGGUCUCUGGUUCGAAUCCGGAAGGCCGGA